CAUAGAUCAACAAACACCAGGAGGUGGAAACACAUAAACCUGAUUUGACAUUCACCAACAGAGAAACACAACUCCAACCACCCUUUGUUUUUAUUUUCGUCAUUUAUUGUAAUUCUUUUAUACCAGGAUUACCCCACAAAAUUCAAGAAGAAACAGAGGAUUUGAAGUACAAAUCCGUCUGGUCCAAGUUAUUUUUUUUUUUAAUACUUGCAGGGAUUGCACUCCAACAGACAUCUAAUGGUUUCAACCCCCUCGUAUUUUUUUGACCCUUUGAAAUUUCAUUCUCGGUUUUUCUCUGUAUAUGAGUUCUGAGGAAAAAAGGAAUUACAAGUUGCAGAAGAACACGAGAAGGAGAAGGAGAAGAAGGAAGAAGAUAACACAAACAGCUACAUAAAUGUCAGAGCAUGUAACAGAUUCCUGGGGCUUACUGUUUAUCUGUUCUUUAAUCCUUUUCUCAGCGGGUAAAAUAGUUGCCGGAGAUUCUUUGGACACAGACAGAGAAGUUUUGCUUCAGCUCAAAUUAUACCUCAACAAUCAAACUCUAGUAGACCAAGGACAAUACACAAACUGGAACACGACCAGUUCGAAUCCUUGUGAAUGGUCGGGAAUCUGGUGCAGCGGCAAUGGAACAACGAGGAGAGUGGUCGGAGUCAACCUCACCGACAACAAAAUCACCGGCGGGAUAUUCCAGAACUUCUCUCGGCUCACUGAGCUCAGACACCUUGACCUUUCCCGGAACACACUCUCCGGCAAGAUUCCGGCGGACUUGAGGCGGUGCCGAAAGCUCGUGUAUCUCAAUCUCUCCUACAAUAUUCUUCCCGAAGAGUUGAAUUUAAUUGGCUUGACAAACCUUCAAAUUCUUGACUUAUCAGGCAAUAGGCUUCACGGGGAUCUCGGCUCUAAUUUCCCUGCCAUUUGUGACAACCUGAUCAGCUUGAAUAUCUCAGGAAAUAACUUCACGGGUAGGACUGAUGAGUGCUUCGAUCAGUGUUUGAAAUUGCAGUACUUGGAUUUGAGCACUAAUAAGCUUAGAGGGCAUAUAUGGAUGGGAAUUGCGAAGCUGAGAAUGUUUUCCGUCUCAGAGAAUUCUCUCGGCGGGAAAAUUCCUCCGUCAGCUUUUCCAGUGCAGUGCAAUCUUGAAUUUCUUGACAUUUCAGAGAAUAUGUUCGGAGGAAGUGUCCCUAAGGAGGUUGCCAACUGCAAGAAUCUUACGACUCUGAAUCUAUCUAGCAACGAAUUGGAUGGACCGAUACCUAAAGAAAUUGGUUCGCUUUCUCGGAUGGAGGCAUUAUACUUGGGGAACAACAGUUUCUCAAGAGACAUCCCAGACGAACUCUUGAACUUGACCAAUUUGGCAUUCUUGGAUUUAACUAGAAAUCAAUUUGGUGGGGACAUACAAGAGAUAUUUGGGAAAUUCAAGCAGGUGAAGUAUCUUCUAUUGCACUCAAAUUCUUACACUGGAGGAUUAUCUUCAUCAGGAAUUCUCAGAUUACCAAACAUUUUACGCUUGGACCUAAGCUACAACAACUUCUCAGGUCCAUUGCCCACAGAAAUCUCACGAAUGUCAAGCCUGAAGUUAUUAAUGUUAGCCUACAAUCAAUUCACUGGACCUAUUCCACCUGAAUUUGGAAACUUGCCUAGCCUUCAAGCUCUUGACUUAUCAGUCAACAACUUAUCUGGGCCAAUCCCACCAACUCUUGGAAACUUGACCUCUCUUUUAUGGCUCAUGCUUGCAAAUAAUUCAUUAACAGGUGAAAUCCCAAGAGAGUUGGGAAACUGUUCGAGCUUAUUAUGGCUAAACCUUGCAAAUAAUAAACUCACAGGAAAAUUCCCACCUGAAUUGACCAACAUAGGGAGAAACGCCAUGGUCACAUUUGAAUCAAAUAGGCAAUAUGACACAGUCAGUGCUGGCUCUGGUGAGUGCUUAGCCAUGAAGAGAUGGAUUCCUGCAGAUUACCCUCCAUUUAGUUUUGUUUAUGACAUCCUUACGAGGAAGAAUUGCAGAAGCAUUUGGGACAGAUUGCUUAAAGGACAUGGGAUUUUCCCGAUUUGCAGUGCAGGUUCAUUUUCACCAUAUCAAAUCUCUGGCUAUGUUCAGCUAAGUGGGAACCAACUCUCAGGUGAAAUUCCUCCAGAAAUUGGAACCAUGCAGAACUUGAGCAUGUUGCAUUUAGGGUUUAAUAAAUUUUCUGGGAAACUACCUGCACAGGUGAAAAGUAUACCGCUUGUGGUAUUGAACAUAACAAGAAACAAGUUUUCUGGAGAAAUCCCUAGCGAAGUUGGAACCAUGACGUGUUUACAGAACCUUGAUCUCUCCUACAACAAUUUUUCUGGGGUUUUCCCCCCAAGUUUGAACAGCUUGUCCGAACUCACCAAGUUCAACAUUUCUUAUAAUCCCUUGAUUUCAGGUGAGAUUCCAUCGCCAGGACAACUAGCUACGUUCGAGAAAUACUCAUAUUUGGGGGAUCCCCUCUUGGAUCUCCCAAGCUUCUUCGACAACUCCACCGAUGAUCACAAAAACAAGACUAACAGACCAAUCAAAAAAUCCACGAAUGUCUCUGUUUUCCUGGUGUUCUUCGCUCUCAUUCUGGCUUUCUUAGUGUUCGGUCUUCUUACUGUCAUAGUCUGUCUACUGAUAAAAACGCCGUCGGAAGAACCACUUGUGAGAGACAUAAAACUCGACCCUGAGUCUGGAACCUCAUCCCCAUGGUUGUCGGACACAGUUAAGGUUAUUCGACUGGACAGGACAGCUUUCACACACUCUGACAUCUUGAAAGCCACGGGAAAUUUCUCAGAAGACAGAAUUAUAGGCAAAGGAGGCUUCGGAACAGUGUACAGAGGUGUAUUUUCAGAUGGGAGAGAAGUGGCAGUGAAAAAGCUCCAAAGAGAAGGACUUGAAGGCGAAAAAGAAUUCAGAGCAGAAAUGGAAGUUCUAUGCGGCCAUGGCUUCGGUUGGCCCCACCCAAACCUCGUCACACUCUAUGGUUGGUGCCUCGACGGUUCGGAAAAAAUAUUGGUUUACGAAUACAUUUCAGGUGGAAGCUUAGAAGAUCUCGUCACCGACAGAACAAAAUUCACUUGGAAACGACGGCUAGAAGUAGCCAUUGACGUUGCUCGAGCUUUGGUUUACUUACACCACGAAUGCUACCCUUCAAUCGUUCACAGAGAUGUGAAGGCAAGCAAUGUGUUGUUGGACAGCAAAACAGGGAAGGCCAAAGUUACGGACUUUGGGCUAGCCAGAGUAGUUGACGUUGGAGACAGCCACGUCAGCACGAUGGUGGCUGGGACGGUGGGGUACGUGGCGCCGGAGUACGGCCACACAUGGAAGGCGACGACGAAAGGUGAUGUGUACAGUUACGGAGUGUUGGCUAUGGAGCUGGCGACUGGAAGAAGAGCAUUGGACGGAGGAGAAGAGUGUUUGGUGGAAUGGGGAAGGAGGGUGAUGGGUCAUGGAAGCAAUAAGCCGAUCGGCCGGGCGGUGAUUCCGGUGGCGCUGAUGGGUUCUGGCUUACUUGAAGGUAUGGAGGAGAUGGUGGAGCUGUUAAGAAUAGGGGUGAGAUGCACGGCGGAGACACCGCAGGCCAGGCCGACGAUGAAGGAGGUUCUGGAUAUGCUUAUCAAGGUGUAUAACCCCAAGGCAGAUUCAAGCUGUGAACAUACGAGUCAUUAAUAAUGUCAAGAAAGUCACUCCCUUCAUUAUGUUCAAGGAGUGGCUCAAGCUCAUGGUUGUGCUACACAGGGCAAAGAAAUAAUGGCAAACAGAAUCUUCAUCAGUAAUAAUGACAACUUAACUAUAUAUUUUCCAGCAGGAAUCAAAGAAUUAUGUAAUCUUCAUUAUUUUCAUGAAUCAUAGAGCAAAUCCACAGAAUUUUUUUUCUCAAAAAUUAAAAACCAUCCACACAAACAAAAGUGGCAUAACAGUCAAUAAUUUGGCCUUCAUAAGGUGCAUCUGUCAUGGAGCGUCUGCUUUAUUGGUACCAGGUCUGUUCAUUUUAUUCCCUAUGAUUCAUGUACCAUAUUAUUGCUGUUUGACAACACGAGUUCAUCAUGUUCCCAACGUUUUAGAAAUUUAUUUAAAUGAUCCCUCCUUUGUCUCAUCUCAUCAUGAGUUCCAUUCAAUUACGUAAAACUAGUAGCCACUUGUAUCUUAAUAGAUCGGGUACAUGAAUUGUAUGGUAUGAUUACACUUUAUGAACAACCCAUUACUUCAUUUGAUAAUUACUUUGACACUGUUAACCAGAAACUUUCAUUUGAUAACUUGUUUUUGAAAUUUUUUUGGAUAUUUUGGAUACGGUGUCAAGGUCACUCGUUUGACCCUCCUCAUUAAUUUACACCUUCAUGAGCAAUAUAUAUGUA
Molecule: RNA transcript, 4356 nt
Organism: Neltuma alba
Lineage: Eukaryota; Viridiplantae; Streptophyta; Magnoliopsida; Fabales; Fabaceae
Gene name: probable LRR receptor-like serine/threonine-protein kinase At1g74360
Exons: 4
Source: RefSeq, a predicted model, not a curated record